RNAcentral lists this ribosomal RNA (465 nucleotides) under Vreelandella stevensii. Its description in RNAcentral is "partial 16S ribosomal RNA". It matches the Rfam family "Bacterial small subunit ribosomal RNA", at positions 338 to 795 of the family's 1533-position model. Lineage: Bacteria; Pseudomonadati; Pseudomonadota; Gammaproteobacteria; Oceanospirillales; Halomonadaceae. The record is from RNAcentral.
CCUACGGGGUGCUGCAGUGGGGAAUAUUGGACAAUGGGCGAAAGCCUGAUCCAGCCAUGCCGCGUGUGUGAAGAAGGCCUUCGGGUUGUAAAGCACUUUCAGUGGGGAAGAAAGCCUUGGGGCUAAUACCCUCGAGGAAGGACAUCACCCACAGAAGAAGCACCGGCUAACUCCGUGCCAGCAGCCGCGGUAAUACGGAGGGUGCGAGCGUUAAUCGGAAUUACUGGGCGUAAAGCGCGCGUAGGCGGUCUGAUAAGCCGGUUGUGAAAGCCCCGGGCUCAAUCUGGGAACGGCAUCCGGAACUGUCAGGCUAGAGUGCAGGAGAGGAAGGUAGAAUUCCCGGUGUAGCGGUGAAAUGCGUAGAGAUCGGGAGGAAUACCAGUGGCGAAGGCGGCCUUCUGGACUGACACUGACGCUGAGGUGCGAAAGCGUGGGUAGCAAACAGGAUUAGAUACCCGUGUAGUC